GUUUCAAAACCCAAAAAAAGCACCGAUGAGUCAAGGUGGAUUUUCCAUGGUUUUCAGAGUUCAACAAACUGAUCAGAAGAAUCUCAAGAACAAUCCCAGUGAAGGCCUUACAUGCAUCUCUGAUUCUUUUUGUCUUUUGACAGUCCACUCUCUUUUCUCAAAUUGUUUGGACGUUUUCCAGAUUAGGAUGAAGGCUAAAAAGUAAUCCCUUUGGAUGCCGACAGUUCCCACAGUAAGGAGUAAGGAGACAAGGUGGUACAAAUCCAGUGAAGGAAGCUGUUGUUUAAGUCAAGUCAUAGACACUGCUGCAAAUUAAAACAGUUAUUUAGUUCUUCAGUUCAAACCAAGUCCCUUCGGAAACAGGCAAUGGGAGCUGAGAGAUCUUUUGAAGCAAGUGGCACACAUUUCUUUAUUUCUUUUGGUAAGCAAUUCCUCUCUGGUAUUCAACUCACAGGAGGUCAUUUAUGUUUAAAAAUAAUUUAUGCUGGGUGAUACUUAAUUUCAGAGCUGUUUCAAGAAGCCCUUUUGCUCUCACAUGAAUACAUUGUCAAUAUGGAGUCAAUCAGACCUCAGCUUACAUAGCUGUAACUGCAUUGUGACUAAAAAUAAAGGACUUGUUGCAUAAUGGAAAGGUUUCUGACAAGCACACUGGUAUUAGUUUGAAAACCACUCUUUCCCUUUCCAAAUAGCAUGAUCUGUCAUUCCUGGAAAAUCACGUUGACAAAUGUGAAAAGGUUUGGAUAAAUACCCUGAGAUUUCAAUAUUUCCAGUGGUUAGUUUAUGCUUAGUAAACAUACAAGUGUCAUGUUUCCCCUUUCAUACUGCACUUC
This 830-nucleotide long non-coding RNA is filed under the name Gallus gallus (chicken). Lineage: Eukaryota; Metazoa; Chordata; Aves; Galliformes; Phasianidae. The record is from RNAcentral.